UAUCCUACGGGGCGCAGCAGUGGGGAAUAUUGGGCAAUGGGCGCAAGCCUGACCCAGCAACGCCGCGUGAAGGAAGAAGGCUUUCGGGUUGUAAACUUCUUUUAUGAGGGACGAAACAAAUGACGGUACCUCAUGAAUAAGCCACGGCUAACUACGUGCCAGCAGCCGCGGUAAUACGUAGGUGGCAAGCGUUAUCCGGAUUUACUGGGUGUAAAGGGCGUGUAGGCGGGACUGCA
This 236-nucleotide ribosomal RNA is filed under the name uncultured bacterium. RNAcentral describes it as "partial 16S ribosomal RNA". It matches the Rfam family "Bacterial small subunit ribosomal RNA", at positions 335 to 585 of the family's 1533-position model. The record is from RNAcentral.